Pseudoliparis swirei is the source of this 2483-nucleotide long non-coding RNA. RefSeq lists it as uncharacterized. The transcript is spliced from 5 exons. The record is from RefSeq and is a predicted model, not a curated record. Lineage: Eukaryota; Metazoa; Chordata; Actinopteri; Perciformes; Liparidae.
GACUGAAGGUGUUUGAUGGUAUCCCCCCGCCCUGUGACGAGGAAGUGCAUGGCUGUCCCAGCUGCCCUUAAGAUUGUGUGUCUGAAGCCCACUCGCAAGGCAUGCUGCCCCACAAAACCAAGCGAGGAUAGGCUGCUCUGGAUAGACUGAUGGUGAUUGACUGAAGCCCCCCCGCCCUUUGACUGGGUGAAUUUCAAUGAACAUCAAAGGGCCACAAUAUCGCUCCGUUUGAACUAUGCACAUUGAACUCUGCUGUCUGUGAUGAUACUUUACCAGCCUUCUUUGAAUAAGACAAUGAAAAGAAAUUCAAUACAAUAUCUGAGACGAGCCGUCUUAUCAAUGGUUAGAUAUGUUGUUUUUACUACUUUAUCUGAUUUUGGCUUUUGUUCCGCAGGAAGUGCAUGGCUGUUCCAGCUGCCCUUAAGAUUGUGCGUCUGAAGCCCACUCGCAAGGCAUCAUGCCCCACAAAACCAAGCAAGGGCAGGCUGCUCUGACUGAAGGUGUUUGAUGGUAUCCCCCCGCCCUAUGAUGAGGUAAAUCUAAUUUAACAUCAAAGGGCCAUGCAGAUUAAACUCUUGUCAUCUGUGAUGAUACUUUUACCAGCCUUCUAUGAAUAAGACUAUGAAAAGAAAUUAAAUACAAUAUCUGAGACGAGCCGUCUUAGCAAUAGUUAGAAGUGUUGUUUUCGACUUUAUCUGAUUUUGGCUUUUCUUCCACAGGAAGCGGAUGUGUGUUCCAGCUGCCCGUAAGAUUGUUUGUCUGAAGAGUCACACAUGGGCUUGAAUUUUAGAAUUGGCAAACUAUAUUCAUCACUUAAAUUAAAAAAAUGCAGAUCUGGAAUUUCAGCACCUUUUUUUUAUACCGUUAAAAACUCUACAGAGAAGACAUUAUAUUGUCAUGCAUAAAGUCAAUACUAGUACACAUUUAAGAAAAACCAAAGUCAAAAAAUAUGCCAUUAUAAAAGGAAAUAUACACUAACAACCAAAAAGGGAAAAUUAAAUGUAGAACCAACAAACUUGUGGGAACAAGAACUGCAUAGAAGGUCGACAUAACUUAAAUGAGUUUUUAAGAAGUUACUGAUUCUGCGAGCCUUAUCUCCUUCGGUAGGACGAGGGGCCCUGAUGACAAAGGCACGGUCACCUUUUGAUUUAAAACCUCGACUUUGGAACAGCUCACCGAGGAUCGAAGGCUGUAGGCAGGCUCGUAUGUGGCUCACGUUUCAACAAAGUACAUACCUGCAAACUUGUCACCUUUCGGUGAAAUUUACCGUUUUGAACUCAAAAUAGGUCAUCCACGUGAAUCGUGGAGAUCCGAAGAGUUUUUGUUUUGGGGGGCCCUGGUCACCUGGCCCGCUGCCGUUGAGAUUCCAGUGAGAUGCGGAGAAAAGUGUGACGUGCUGUUCGCAAUAAAACAUCUUUGAUGGGACGUGUCUUGGCCAAUCAGCGUUCAGAUGUCGACAUCGUUUGGGGGUUCAGGUUAGCUUGAAUGUCAGCCCGCUACAUCGGCUGCUGUCACGCUGCACGGUGUAGCGAUGCUAACAAAGUACCCGUACGUUAAACACAAUGGCUGUGUCUACUACCGCGCACUUAACGAAGUACACUGCAUUGCAGUGCACUGCGUCGCUGAUGAAGUGCUGUCUCAAAUGGAACACUUACGUUAACCACUUGGCGGAAGUGACGGACGCAAAUCUGUUCACGGCACCCGCGAAAUUAAGCCGGGAGUGACGUAUGCAAAUCUGCUUGCGAUACCCUAACCCUUAAACUGACAAAAUGAAUGCACUUCUUGCCCUCUUGUUGUCCCUUGUUUACCCCUUUCUCCACCCCAUGUAGAAACUGCGAUACCUCCACAAUCGCGGCAGGAGCCUCCGCCUUCUGGCUGAAGUCGAGAUGCAGCCACCCAGUCCCAGGCGGCGCUGCCGUAUCAAUGUUGCAAUGCCACUGCUGGCGUUGUAUUGUGAUGGCCACAGUGACAUGAGGGUGGACUUCAGGCUCACCCGAGAGUCAUUCAACGCCCUCAUGGCUGUGCUGGGCACUGACUGACCACGGUUGGGGCCCCGAGAUCUCCUGUCUAGUUUUUAUUUUUUGGCUUGCCACCUCCUAUCGGGUGGUGGCCAGGGCCUUCGACAGGCCCCGGGCUCAGUGCAUGAUGCCAGGGUCCUGAAUAACAGCCCCAUCUUCUAUGAGCAGUCAUCCCCUCCACCAGGAUACUGUAUCCUUGGGGAUGGUGGCUCCCCCUGCCUGUCCCAACCCAUCUGCCUCAUGACCCCCUUCAGGCAGCCUGUCCACCUCCAAGCUACAACUGCUGCCUGUCAAAGGCGAGGUGUGUUGUGGAGAGGUCCUUCGGGAUACUUAAGACGCGAUGGCGGUCCAUCUUCUUAAAGGCCCUGGAGGUGGAUGUGAGGUUUGUGCCAGAGGUCAUUGGAGCCAGAUGCAGAUGUCGGGAGGGCAGCAGAGGACCAGCACCAGCACCUCCAGGAAACGUCU